RNAcentral lists this ribosomal RNA (496 nucleotides) under uncultured bacterium. RNAcentral describes it as "partial 16S ribosomal RNA". It matches the Rfam family "Bacterial small subunit ribosomal RNA", at positions 28 to 507 of the family's 1533-position model. The record is from RNAcentral.
GAUGAACGCUGGCGGCGUGCCUAAUACAUGCAAGUCGAGCGAACAGACGAGGAGCUUGCUCCUCUGACGUUAGCGGCGGACGGGUGAGUAACACGUGGAUAACCUACCUAUAAGACUGGGAUAACUUCGGGAAACCGGAGCUAAUACCGAUAAUAUAUUGAACCGCAUGGUUCAAUAGCGAAAGACGGUUUUGCUGUCACUUAUAGAUGGAUCCGCGCCGCAUUAGCUAGUUGGUAAGGUAACGGCUUACCAAGGCGACGAUGCGUAGCCGACCUGAGAGGGUGAUCGGCCACACUGGAACUGAGACACGGUCCAGACUCCUACGGGAGGCAGCAGUAGGGAAUCUUCCGCAAUGGGCGAAAGCCUGACGGAGCAACGCCGCGUGAGUGAUGAAGGUCUUCGGAUCGUAAAACUCUGUUAUUAGGGAAGAACAAAUGUGUAAGUAACUAUGCACGUCUUGACGGUACCUAAUCAGAAAGCCACGGCUAACUACGUG